GUGCUGCCUUUGAGCCCCCGAGGCACCUCCUGGUGGUACUGGGGGUUAAGCUGCAGAGCCAUAGCAUAUUGCUCAUGCAUAA
Molecule: small nucleolar RNA, 82 nt
Filed under: Nannospalax galili (Upper Galilee mountains blind mole rat)
Lineage: Eukaryota; Metazoa; Chordata; Mammalia; Rodentia; Spalacidae
Source: RNAcentral